Molecule: ribosomal RNA, 477 nt
Filed under: uncultured Glomus
Lineage: Eukaryota; Fungi; Glomeromycota; Glomeromycetes; Glomerales; Glomeraceae
Description: SSU rRNA
Rfam family: Eukaryotic small subunit ribosomal RNA
Source: RNAcentral
AGCAGCCGCGGUAAUUCCAGCUCCAAUAGCGUAUAUUAAAGUUGUUGCAGUUAAAAAGCUCGUAGUUGAACUUCGGGAUCAAUUAGUUGGUCAUGCCUUGGUAUGUACUGAUUUUAUUGGUUCUCACCUUCUAAAAGAACUAUAAUGUCAUUUAUUUGAUGUUAUAGGGAAUUAGGACUGUUACCUUGAAAAAUUAGAGUGUUUAAAGCAGGCUCACGCUUGAAUACAUUAGCAUGGAAUAAUGAAAUAGGACAUCGCAUUCUAUUUUGUUGGUUUCUAGGAUCGAUGUAAUGAUUAAUAGGGAUAGUUGGGGGCAUUAGUAUUCAAUUGUCAGAGGUGAAAUUCUUGGAUUUAUUGAAGACUAACUACUGCGAAAGCAUUUGCCAAGGAUGUUUUCAUUAAUCAAGAACGAAAGUUAGGGGAUCGAAGACGAUCAGAUACCGUCGUAGUCUUAACCAUAAACUAUGCCGACUAGGG